Molecule: unclassified non-coding RNA, 206 nt
Filed under: Hevea brasiliensis (rubber tree)
Lineage: Eukaryota; Viridiplantae; Streptophyta; Magnoliopsida; Malpighiales; Euphorbiaceae
Source: RNAcentral
UCACAGGAGAGGAAGGAUGACCAGAAAGUUCUGGAUUCUGAGGUGGUUAAAGCCAUCGAAGCAGUUCCAGAUUUGAAGACCUAUUUAGGUGCCAGAUUCUCUCUAAGGUCUGGAAUGAAACCCCAUGAGCUUGUGUUCUAAAUAUUUAGUUUAUUCUCAAGUCUUGCCUGGCCCAAUUGAAUUUUAUAGAGGCUACAUGACAUUGG